This 1371-nucleotide ribosomal RNA is filed under the name uncultured bacterium. RNAcentral describes it as "bacterial SSU rRNA". It matches the Rfam family "Bacterial small subunit ribosomal RNA", at positions 28 to 1381 of the family's 1533-position model. The record is from RNAcentral.
GAUGAACGCUGGCGGCGUGCCUAAUACAUGCAAGUCGAGCGAACGGACGAGAAGCUUGCUUCUCUGAUGUUAGCGGCGGACGGGUGAGUAACACGUGGAUAACCUACCUAUAAGACUGGGAUAACUUCGGGAAACCGGAGCUAAUACCGGAUAAUAUUUUGAACCGCAUGGUUCAAAAGUGAAAGACGGUCUUGCUGUCACUUAUAGAUGGAUCCGCGCUGCAUUAGCUAGUUGGUAAGGUAACGGCUUACCAAGGCAACGAUGCAUAGCCGACCUGAGAGGGUGAUCGGCCACACUGGAACUGAGACACGGUCCAGACUCCUACGGGAGGCAGCAGUAGGGAAUCUUCCGCAAUGGGCGAAAGCCUGACGGAGCAACGCCGCGUGAGUGAUGAAGGUCUUCGGAUCGUAAAACUCUGUUAUUAGGGAAGAACAUAUGUGUAAGUAACUGUGCACAUCUUGACGGUACCUAAUCAGAAAGCCACGGCUAACUACGUGCCAGCAGCCGCGGUAAUACGUAGGUGGCAAGCGUUAUCCGGAAUUAUUGGGCGUAAAGCGCGCGUAGGCGGUUUUUUAGUCUGAUGUGAAAGCCCACGGCUCAACCGUGGAGGGUCAUUGGAAACUGGAAAACUUGAGUGCAGAAGAGGAAAGUGGAAUUCCAUGUGUAGCGGUGAAAUGCGCAGAGAUAUGGAGGAACACCAGUGGCGAAGGCGACUUUCUGGUCUGUAACUGACGCUGAUGUGCGAAAGCGUGGGGAUCAAACAGGAUUAGAUACCCUGGUAGUCCGCGCCGUAAACGAUGAGUGCUAAGUGUUAGGGGGUUUCCGCCCCUUAGUGCUGCAGCUAACGCAUUAAGCACUCCGCCUGGGGAGUACGACCGCAAGGUUGAAACUCAAAGGAAUUGACGGGGACCCGCACAAGCGGUGGAGCAUGUGGUUUAAUUCGAAGCAACGCGAAGAACCUUACCAAAUCUUGACAUCCUUUGACAACUCUAGAGAUAGAGCUUUCCCCUUCGGGGGACAAAGUGACAGGUGGUGCAUGGUUGUCGUCAGCUCGUGUCGUGAGAUGUUGGGUUAAGUCCCGCAACGAGCGCAACCCUUAAGCUUAGUUGCCAUCAUUAAGUUGGGCACUCUAAGUUGACUGCCGGUGACAAACCGGAGGAAGGUGGGGAUGACGUCAAAUCAUCAUGCCCCUUAUGACUUGGGCUACACACGUGCUACAAUGGACAAUACAAAGGGCAGCGAAACCGUGAGGUCAAGCAAAUCCCAUAAAGUUGUUCUCAGUUCGGAUUGUAGUCUGCAACUCGACUACAUGAAGCUGGAAUCGCUAGUAAUCGUAGAUCAGCAUGCUACGGUGAAUACGUUCCCGGGUCU